UAGCGUAUAUUAAAGUUGUUGCAGUUAAAAAGCUCGUAGUUGGAUCUCGGGAGCGGUCCGGCGGUCCUCCUCACGGAGGUUUCACUGCCGCGUUGCCGCUCUCACCUCACCGGCUCUCCCCGGGUGCUCUUCGCUGAGUGCCCGAGGCGGCCGGAAUGUUUACUUUGAAAAAAUUAGAGUGUUCAAAGCAGGCGUUUCGCCUGAAUAUUGGCGCAUGGAAUAAUGGAAUAGGACCUCGGUUCUAUUUUGUUGGUUUUCGGAAGUCGAGGUAAUGAUUAGUAGGGACGAUCCGGGGGCAUUCGUAUUGCGCGGUU
This 314-nucleotide ribosomal RNA is filed under the name Polydora environmental sample. RNAcentral's name for it is "SSU rRNA". It matches the Rfam family "Eukaryotic small subunit ribosomal RNA", at positions 595 to 906 of the family's 1831-position model. Lineage: Eukaryota; Metazoa; Annelida; Polychaeta; Spionida; Spionidae. The record is from RNAcentral.